Molecule: ribosomal RNA, 1122 nt
Filed under: Enterobacter hormaechei
Lineage: Bacteria; Pseudomonadati; Pseudomonadota; Gammaproteobacteria; Enterobacterales; Enterobacteriaceae
Description: partial 23S ribosomal RNA
Rfam family: Bacterial large subunit ribosomal RNA
Source: RNAcentral
AAUGGGUCAGCGACUUAUAUUCUGUAGCAAGGUUAACCGUAUAGGGGAGCCGAAGGGAAACCGAGUCUUAACUGGGCGUUAAGUUGCAGGGUAUAGACCCGAAACCCGGUGAUCUAGCCAUGGGCAGGUUGAAGGUUGGGUAACACUAACUGGAGGACCGAACCGACUAAUGUUGAAAAAUUAGCGGAUGACCUGUGGCUGGGGGUGAAAGGCCAAUCAAACCGGGAGAUAGCUGGUUCUCCCCGAAAGCUAUUUAGGUAGCGCCUCGUGAACUCAUCUUCGGGGGUAGAGCACUGUUUCGGCUAGGGGGCCAUCCCGGCUUACCAACCCGAUGCAAACUACGAAUACCGAAGAAUGUUAUCACGGGAGACACACGGCGGGUGCUAACGUCCGUCGUGAAGAGGGAAACAACCCAGACCGCCAGCUAAGGUCCCAAAGUCAUGGUUAAGUGGGAAACGAUGUGGGAAGGCACAGACAGCCAGGAUGUUGGCUUAGAAGCAGCCAUCAUUUAAAGAAAGCGUAAUAGCUCACUGGUCGAGUCGGCCUGCGCGGAAGAUGUAACGGGGCUAAACCAUGCACCGAAGCUGCGGCAGCGACGCUUAUGCGUUGUUGGGUAGGGGAGCGUUCUGUAAGCCGUUGAAGGUGUGCUGUGAGGCAUGCUGGAGGUAUCAGAAGUGCGAAUGCUGACAUAAGUAACGAUAAAGCGGGUGAAAAGCCCGCUCGCCGGAAGACCAAGGGUUCCUGUCCAACGUUAAUCGGGGCAGGGUGAGUCGACCCCUAAGGCGAGGCCGAAAGGCGUAGUCGAUGGGAAACAGGUUAAUAUUCCUGUACUUGGUGUUACUGCGAAGGGGGGACGGAGAAGGCUAUGUCAGCCGGGCGACGGUUGUCCCGGUUUAAGCAUGUAGGCGGAGGUUCCAGGUAAAUCCGGUACCUUGUUAACGCUGAGGUGUGAUGACGAGGCACUACGGUGCUGAAGUGAUAAAUGCCCUGCUUCCAGGAAAAGCCUCUAAGCAUCAGGUAACACGAAAUCGUACCCCAAACCGACACAGGUGGUCAGGUAGAGAAUACCAAGGCGCUUGAGAGAACUCGGGUGAAGGAACUAGGCAAAAUGGUGCCGUAACU